GGAGAGAUGUCUGAGUGGACUAAAGCGGCGGAUUGCUAAUCCGUUAUACGAGUUAAUCGUACCGAAGGUUCGAAUCCAUCUCUUUUCA
Molecule: transfer RNA, 88 nt
Filed under: Datura stramonium (jimsonweed)
Lineage: Eukaryota; Viridiplantae; Streptophyta; Magnoliopsida; Solanales; Solanaceae
Description: tRNA-Ser
Rfam family: tRNA
About the family: Transfer RNA (tRNA) molecules are approximately 80 nucleotides in length. Their secondary structure includes four short double-helical elements and three loops (D, anti-codon, and T loops).
Source: RNAcentral